CCUACGGGUGGCAGCAGUGGGGAAUAUUGCACAAUGGGGGAAACCCUGAUGCAGCAACGCCGCGUGAAGGAAGACGGUUUUCGGAUUGUAAACUUCCAUCAAUAGGGAAGAAAGAAAUGACGGUACUUAAAUAAGAAGCCCCGGCUAAAUACGUGCAAGCAGACGCGGCAAUACGUAGGGGGCAAGCGUUCUCCGGAAUUACUGGGUGUAAAGGGAGAGUAGGCGGCAAGGUAAGCGAGAUGUGAAAGGCUGAAGCUUAACUUAAGGAUGGAAUAACGAACUAUCUAGCUAGAGUACAGGAGAGGAAAGCGGAAUGCCUAGUGUAGCGGUGAAAUGCGUAGAUAGUAGGAAGAACACCGGUGGCGAAGGCAGCUUUCUGGACUGAAACUGACGCUGAGGCUCGAAAGCGUGGGGAGCGAACAGGAUUAGAUACCCUUGUAGUC
RNAcentral lists this ribosomal RNA (443 nucleotides) under uncultured bacterium. Its description in RNAcentral is "partial 16S ribosomal RNA". It matches the Rfam family "Bacterial small subunit ribosomal RNA", at positions 338 to 795 of the family's 1533-position model. The record is from RNAcentral.